UGCAAAUUAUGUUUUUCUCACGAUGGUCUUCGUAGCCUGUGAGGCUCUGACGACACUGCCUAAUGGCAACACUGAUGCAGUGCA
Salmo salar (Atlantic salmon) is the source of this 84-nucleotide non-coding RNA. The record is from Rfam. NCBI's taxonomy places the organism in Eukaryota, Metazoa, Chordata, Actinopteri, Salmoniformes, Salmonidae.